AGGUGAGAUGGCGUGGUGAUACGGAGCUUCAAUUAAGAGAGAGAUCCACCAGGAAACCGAUGAUGUGGUUCCUACGUGACUUCAAUCAGCCUUUUACCUGACAACGCGAGGCACGGGGAUGCGUGUGUAAUGGCGGCGGCCCUGGUGCCAGAGGUGAAGGUUAUCCCUGAGGAUGAUGGGGAUGACGACGGAAACAGUCCUUAUGUGGAUCCCUCGAGCCUAGCCUCUCACGGUAUACUGGGGGCCACGGGGGGUCGAUCCCAUGGCCCCCUACUGGUCCCUCCCCCGCGCUUCCAGCCCGAAGAUGAAGAUGAUGACCCUGCCUGGCUGGACCUCACUGAUGGGGCCACCUACCUCGACUGUCCGGACCUCCUGCACCCCUACACCUCCCUCAGGCCGCGUCUCUCAUA
Molecule: long non-coding RNA, 410 nt
Organism: Homarus americanus (American lobster)
Lineage: Eukaryota; Metazoa; Arthropoda; Malacostraca; Decapoda; Nephropidae
Exons: 3
Source: RefSeq, a predicted model, not a curated record